GGGUUGUUAGCUCAGUCGGUAGAGCAGCGGACUUUUAAUCCGUUGGUCACAGGUUCGAAUCCUGUACAACCCACCA
This 76-nucleotide transfer RNA is filed under the name Roseateles sp. RNAcentral describes it as "tRNA-Lys". It matches the Rfam family "tRNA". Rfam says of the family: Transfer RNA (tRNA) molecules are approximately 80 nucleotides in length. Their secondary structure includes four short double-helical elements and three loops (D, anti-codon, and T loops). Further hydrogen bonds mediate the characteristic L-shaped molecular structure. tRNAs have two regions of fundamental functional importance: the anti-codon, which is responsible for specific mRNA codon recognition, and the 3' end, to which the tRNAs corresponding amino acid is attached (by aminoacyl-tRNA synthetases). tRNAs cope with the degeneracy of the genetic code in two manners: having more than one tRNA (with a specific anti-codon) for a particular amino acid; and 'wobble' base-pairing, i.e. permitting non-standard base-pairing at the 3rd anti-codon position. RNAcentral also lists the same sequence under 2 other names. The record is from RNAcentral. Lineage: Bacteria; Pseudomonadati; Pseudomonadota; Betaproteobacteria; Burkholderiales; Sphaerotilaceae.